RNAcentral lists this ribosomal RNA (1484 nucleotides) under metagenome. RNAcentral describes it as "bacterial SSU rRNA". It matches the Rfam family "Bacterial small subunit ribosomal RNA". The record is from RNAcentral.
AGAGUUUGAUCCUGGCUCAGGAUGAACGCUGGCGGCGUGCCUAACACAUGCAAGUCGAACGAAGCUCCUGCGACAGAUUCCUUCGGGAUGAAGAUGCUUGAGACUUAGUGGCGGACGGGUGAGUAACGCGUGGGUAACCUGCCCUGUACUGGGGGACAACAGUUAGAAAUGACUGCUAAUACCGCAUAAGCCUACAGAGUCGCAUGACUUAGUAGGAAAAAUUCCGGUGGUACAGGAUGGGCCCGCGUCUGAUUAGCUAGUUGGUGAGGUAACGGCUCACCAAGGCAACGAUCAGUAGCCGGCUUGAGAGAGUGAACGGCCACAUUGGGACUGAGACACGGCCCAAACUCCUACGGGAGGCAGCAGUGGGGAAUAUUGCACAAUGGGGGAAACCCUGAUGCAGCAACGCCGCGUGAGUGAAGAAGUAUUUCGGUAUGUAAAGCUCUAUCAGCAGGGAAGAAAAUGACGGUACCUGACUAAGAAGCACCGGCUAAAUACGUGCCAGCAGCCGCGGUAAUACGUAUGGUGCAAGCGUUAUCCGGAUUUACUGGGUGUAAAGGGAGCGCAGGCGGUUUGGCAAGUCUGAUGUGAAAAUCCGGGGCUCAACCCCGGAACUGCAUUGGAAACUGUCAGACUAGAGUGUCGGAGAGGUAAGUGGAAUUCCUAGUGUAGCGGUGAAAUGCGUAGAUAUUAGGAGGAACACCAGUGGCGAAGGCGGCUUACUGGACACCAACUGACGCUGAGGCUCGAAAGUGUGGGUAGCAAACAGGAUUAGAUACCCUGGUAGUCCACACCGUAAACGAUGAUUACUAGGUGUUGGAGGAUUGACCCCUUCAGUGCCGCAGUUAACACAAUAAGUAAUCCACCUGGGGAGUACGACCGCAAGGUUGAAACUCAAAGGAAUUGACGGGGGCCCGCACAAGCAGUGGAGUAUGUGGUUUAAUUCGACGCAACGCGAAGAACCUUACCAAGUCUUGACAUCCUGCGACGAUGCUGGAAACAGUAUUUUCCUUCGGGACGCAGAGACAGGUGGUGCAUGGUUGUCGUCAGCUCGUGUCGUGAGAUGUUGGGUUAAGUCCCGCAACGAGCGCAACCCUUAUGGUCAGUUACUACGCAAGAGGACUCUGGCCAGACUGCCGUUGACAAAACGGAGGAAGGUGGGGAUGACGUCAAAUCAUCAUGCCCUUUAUGACUUGGGCUACACACGUACUACAAUGGCGUUAAACAAAGAGAAGCAAGACCGCGAGGUGGAGCAAAACUCAGAAACAACGUCCCAGUUCGGACUGCAGGCUGCAACUCGCCUGCACGAAGUCGGAAUUGCUAGUAAUCGUGGAUCAGCAUGCCACGGUGAAUACGUUCCCGGGCCUUGUACACACCGCCCGUCACACCAUGAGAGCCGGGGGGACCCGAAGUCGGUAGUCUAACCGCAAGGAGGACGCCGCCGAAGGUAAAACUGGUGAUUGGGGUGAAGUCGUAACAAGGUG